AUUGAACGCUGGCGGCAGGCCUAACACAUGCAAGUCGAACGAGUGGCGGACGGGUGAGUAAUGUCUGGGAAACUGCCUGAUGGAGGGGGAUAACUACUGGAAACGGUAGCUAAUACCGCAUACCAUCAGAUGUGCCCAGAUGGGAUUAGCGUGUUGGUGGGGUAACGGCUCACCAGGGCGACGAUCCCUAGCUGGUCUGAGAGGAUGACCAGCCACACGGGGACUGAGACACGGUCCAGCAUCCUACGGGAGGCAGCAGUGGGGAAUAUUGCAAAAUGGGCGAAAGGCUGAUGCAGCCAUGCCGCGUGUAUGAAGAAGGCCUUCGGGUUGUAAAGUACUUUCAGCGGGGAGGCGUUACCCGCAGAAGAAGCACCGGCUAACUCCGUGCCAGCAGCCGCGGUAAUUC
This 406-nucleotide ribosomal RNA is filed under the name uncultured bacterium. Its description in RNAcentral is "partial 16S ribosomal RNA". It matches the Rfam family "Bacterial small subunit ribosomal RNA", at positions 30 to 526 of the family's 1533-position model. The record is from RNAcentral.